CACAUUUUGUAAUGUUUUCAAAUCGAGUCAUGUGAUUUUGUUUCUUCCAUAAACCACACAUUUUUAUAAGUGUUUUGAGUCUUUUAUUGAAAAAUCAUGUAACUCGGAAAAGCAAGGCACCUCAUGAAAGUUUUGGAAGACAUGAGAUGACGAUUAUCAAUGUACAUGAAGACUUUGAAGACAUUACAAGUUGGGAGAAUCCUAUCCCAAAGUCCUAAGACCAAAUCGGAAAAGGAAAACACACGAAGGAACCAAGAAAAAGACGAAAUUAGUACCAGUAGUUGAGGCCACCUGCCACGUGACAUGUGGAACAUAGAGCAUUUGGAUCUCUGUCAACUGCCACGCGCCUUGCACCAGCCCU
This 361-nucleotide long non-coding RNA is filed under the name Medicago truncatula (barrel medic). RNAcentral's name for it is "lncRNA gene22966". Lineage: Eukaryota; Viridiplantae; Streptophyta; Magnoliopsida; Fabales; Fabaceae. The record is from RNAcentral.